UACAGAGGGUGCUAGCGUUGUUCGGAAUCAUUGGGCGUAAAGGGCGUGUAGGCGGUUUGUUAAGUCAUGUGUGAAAUCCCUCGGCUCAACCGGGGAACGACGCAUGAAACUGGCAAGCUAGAGUACCAAAGAGGGGGGUGGAAUUCCCGGUGUAGCGGUGAAAUUCGUAGAUAUUGGGAGGAACACCAGUGGCGAAGGCGGCUACCUGGACCGGUUCUGACGCUGAGGCGCGAAAGCGUGGGU
RNAcentral lists this ribosomal RNA (243 nucleotides) under uncultured bacterium. Its description in RNAcentral is "partial 16S ribosomal RNA". It matches the Rfam family "Bacterial small subunit ribosomal RNA", at positions 524 to 766 of the family's 1533-position model. The record is from RNAcentral.